GGUUAAGCAACUAAGCGUACACGGUGGAUGCCCUGGCAGUCAGAGGCGAUGAAGGACGUGCUAAUCUGCGAUAAGCGUCGGUAAGGUGAUAUGAACCGUUAUAACCGGCGAUUUCCGAAUGGGGAAACCCAGUGUG
This 136-nucleotide ribosomal RNA is filed under the name Escherichia coli. Its description in RNAcentral is "partial 23S ribosomal RNA". It matches the Rfam family "Bacterial large subunit ribosomal RNA", at positions 1 to 135 of the family's 2925-position model. Lineage: Bacteria; Pseudomonadati; Pseudomonadota; Gammaproteobacteria; Enterobacterales; Enterobacteriaceae. The record is from RNAcentral.